GCUGGCAGCCAUAUCACCCUGUAGCCCAAGACUGGUCACCCACUGAAGCUAAGCAGGGCUGAGCCUGGUCAGUACCUGGAUAGGAGACCUCCUGGGAAAACUAGGUUGCUGCUGGAA
This 117-nucleotide ribosomal RNA is filed under the name Sinocyclocheilus anshuiensis. Lineage: Eukaryota; Metazoa; Chordata; Actinopteri; Cypriniformes; Cyprinidae. The record is from RNAcentral.